UACGAAGGGGGCUAGCGUUGUCCGGAUUUAUUGGGCGUAAAGAGCGUGUAGGCGGCUGGGUAGGUCCGUUGUGAAAACUCGAGGCUCAACCUCGAGACGCCGAUGGAAACCCUCCAGCUAGAGUCCGGAAGAGGAGAGUGGAAUUCCUGGUGUAGCGGUGAAAUGCGCAGAUAUCAGGAAGAACACCCGUGGCUAAGGCGGCUCUCUAGUACGGUACUGACGCUGAGACGCGAAAGCGUGGGGAGCGAACAGG
This 253-nucleotide ribosomal RNA is filed under the name uncultured bacterium. RNAcentral's name for it is "partial 16S ribosomal RNA". It matches the Rfam family "Bacterial small subunit ribosomal RNA", at positions 524 to 776 of the family's 1533-position model. The record is from RNAcentral.